Non-coding RNA from Gopherus evgoodei (Goodes thornscrub tortoise), 76 nucleotides. The record is from the annotation of a RefSeq genome assembly. NCBI's taxonomy places the organism in Eukaryota, Metazoa, Chordata, Testudines, Testudinidae.
AUUGGGGUGGCAGAGACAGGUAUAAAUGCAAGAGACCUAAACCCUCUAUCCAGGGGUUCAACUCCCCUUCCCAAUU